RNAcentral lists this ribosomal RNA (378 nucleotides) under uncultured Gemmatimonadota bacterium. Its description in RNAcentral is "bacterial SSU rRNA". It matches the Rfam family "Bacterial small subunit ribosomal RNA", at positions 521 to 896 of the family's 1533-position model. The record is from RNAcentral. Lineage: Bacteria; Pseudomonadati; Gemmatimonadota.
UAAGACGGAGGGCGCAAGCGUUGUUCGGAAUUACUGGGCGUAAAGGGCGGGCAGGCGGUCCGUUAAGUCUCCCGUGAAAAUCCGGGGCUCAACCCCGUGAAAUGCAGGAGAUACUGGCAGACUAGAGACCGGUAGAGGCUAGCGGAAUUCCUGGUGUAGCGGUGGAAUGCGUAGAUAUCAGGAAGAACACCUGUGGCGAGGGCGGCUAGCUGGGCCGGAUCUGACGCUCAUCCGCGAAAGCGUGGGGAGCAAACAGGAUUAGAUACCCUGGUAGUCCACGCCGUAAACGAUGGGCACUAGGUACCGGGUCUAUAGACGGAUUCGGUGCCGCAGCUAACGCAUUAAGUGCCCCGCCUGGGGAGUACGGUCGCAAGGCUG